UAAGAAAUAGGUAAAAGGAAUACCACAAACCUUUGAAAUUUGUAUUAAGAGUUCAAAUCUCUUCUUCUUAA
This 71-nucleotide transfer RNA is filed under the name Astrotoma agassizii. Its description in RNAcentral is "tRNA-Gln". It matches the Rfam family "tRNA". Rfam says of the family: Transfer RNA (tRNA) molecules are approximately 80 nucleotides in length. Their secondary structure includes four short double-helical elements and three loops (D, anti-codon, and T loops). Further hydrogen bonds mediate the characteristic L-shaped molecular structure. tRNAs have two regions of fundamental functional importance: the anti-codon, which is responsible for specific mRNA codon recognition, and the 3' end, to which the tRNAs corresponding amino acid is attached (by aminoacyl-tRNA synthetases). tRNAs cope with the degeneracy of the genetic code in two manners: having more than one tRNA (with a specific anti-codon) for a particular amino acid; and 'wobble' base-pairing, i.e. permitting non-standard base-pairing at the 3rd anti-codon position. Lineage: Eukaryota; Metazoa; Echinodermata; Ophiuroidea; Euryalida; Gorgonocephalidae. The record is from RNAcentral.